UUGCUUCAGCAGCAUAUAUACUAAAAUUGGAAUGAUACAGAGAAGAUUAGCAUGGACACGGUUCAAGGAUGACACACAAAGUCAUGAAGUGUUCCACAUAUUU
RNAcentral lists this small nuclear RNA (103 nucleotides) under Moschus moschiferus (Siberian musk deer). Lineage: Eukaryota; Metazoa; Chordata; Mammalia; Artiodactyla; Moschidae. The record is from RNAcentral.